RNAcentral lists this ribosomal RNA (468 nucleotides) under uncultured bacterium. Its description in RNAcentral is "partial 16S ribosomal RNA". It matches the Rfam family "Bacterial small subunit ribosomal RNA", at positions 28 to 507 of the family's 1533-position model. The record is from RNAcentral.
GACGAACGCUGGCGGCGUGCUUAACACAUGCAAGUCGAACGGAAAGGCCCUGCUUUUGUGGGGUGCUCGAGUGGCGAACGGGUGAGUAACACGUGAGUAACCUGCCCUUGACUUUGGGAUAACUUCAGGAAACUGGGGCUAAUACCGGAUAGGAGCUCCUGCUGCAUGGUGGGGGUUGGAAAGUUUCGGCGGUUGGGGAUGGACUCGCGGCUUAUCAGCUUGUUGGUGGGGUAGUGGCUUACCAAGGCUUUGACGGGUAGCCGGCCUGAGAGGGUGACCGGCCACAUUGGGACUGAGAUACGGCCCAGACGCCUACGGGAGGCAGCAGUGGGGAAUAUUGCACAAUGGGCGGAAGCCUGAUGCAGCAACGCCGCGUGCGGAAUGACGGCCUUCGGGUUGUAAACCGCUUUCGCCUGUGACGAAGCGUGAGUGACGGUAAUGGAUAAAGAAGCACCGGCUAACUACGUG